UACGUAGGGGGCGAGCGUUGUCCGGAAUUGUUGGGCGUAAAGAGCGUGUAGGCGGUUCGGUAAGUCUGCUGUGAAAUCCUGGGGCUCAACCCUGGGCGUGCAGCGGAUACUGCCGGGCUAGAGGGUGGUAGAGGCGAGUGGAAUUCCGAGUGUAGCGGUGAAAUGCGCAGAUAUUCGGAAGAACACCAGUGGCGAAGGCGGCUCACUGGCCCGGUACUGACGCUGAGAUACGAAAGCGUGGGGAGCAAACAGG
RNAcentral lists this ribosomal RNA (253 nucleotides) under uncultured bacterium. RNAcentral's name for it is "partial 16S ribosomal RNA". It matches the Rfam family "Bacterial small subunit ribosomal RNA", at positions 524 to 776 of the family's 1533-position model. The record is from RNAcentral.